Molecule: non-coding RNA, 24 nt
Filed under: Arabidopsis thaliana (thale cress)
Lineage: Eukaryota; Viridiplantae; Streptophyta; Magnoliopsida; Brassicales; Brassicaceae
Source: RNAcentral
UUCUGGAAAUUGAUGAUGAGGAAC